RNAcentral lists this ribosomal RNA (806 nucleotides) under uncultured bacterium. RNAcentral's name for it is "bacterial SSU rRNA". It matches the Rfam family "Bacterial small subunit ribosomal RNA", at positions 552 to 1355 of the family's 1533-position model. The record is from RNAcentral.
UAUUGGGCGUAAAGAGCUCGUAGGCGGUUUGUCGCGUCUGCCGUGAAAGUCCGGGGCUUAACCCCGGAUCUGCGGUGGGUACGGGCAGACUGGAGUGCAGUAGGGGAGACUGGAAUUCCUGGUGUAGCGGUGAAAUGCGCAGAUAUCAGGAGGAACACCGAUGGCGAAGGCAGGUCUCUGGGCUGUUACUGACGCUGAGGAGCGAAAGCAUGGGGAGCGAACAGGAUUAGAUACCCUGGUAGUCCAUGCCGUAAACGUUGGGCACUAGGUGUGGGGGCCAUUCCACGGUUUCCGCGCCGCAGCUAACGCAUUAAGUGCCCCGCCUGGGGAGUACGGCCGCAAGGCUAAAACUCAAAGGAAUUGACGGGGGCCCGCACAAGCGGCGGAGCAUGCGGAUUAAUUCGAUGCAACGCGAAGAACCUUACCAAGGCUUGACAUGUUCCCGACCGGGCCAGAGAUGGUCCUUCCCCUUUGGGGCGGGUUCACAGGUGGUGCAUGGUUGUCGUCAGCUCGUGUCGUGAGAUGUUGGGUUAAGUCCCGCAACGAGCGCAACCCUCGUUCCAUGUUGCCAGCGGGUUAUGCCGGGGACUCAUGGGAGACUGCCGGGGUCAACUCGGAGGAAGGUGGGGACGACGUCAAAUCAUCAUGCCCCUUAUGUCUUGGGCUUCACGCAUGCUACAAUGGCCGGUACAAUGGGUUGCGAUACUGUGAGGUGGAGCUAAUCCCAAAAAGCCGGUCUCAGUUCGGAUUGGGGUCUGCAACUCGACCCCAUGAAGUCGGAGUCGCUAGUAAUCGCAGAUCAGCAA